GAUGAACGCUGGCGGCGUGCCUAACACAUGCAAGUCGAACGAGGCCCUUUGUAUUCGUACGAAGGUGUCCUAGUGGCGAACGGGUGAGUAACACGUUGGUGACCUGCCCCAAAGUGGGGGACAACUCCGGGAAACUGGAGCUAAUACCCCAUGUGUUCCGAGGAGUUAGAGGUCCUCGGAGAAAAGGAGCAAUCCGCUUUGGGAGGGGCCUGCGGCCCAUCAGCUAGUUGGUAGGGUAAUGGCCUACCAAGGCUACGACGGGUAGGGGACCUGAGAGGGUGGCCCCCCACACUGGCACUGAAACACGGGCCAGACACCUACGGGUGGCAGCAGUGGGGAAUAUUGCCCAAUGGACGAAAGUCUGAGGCAGCAACGCCGCGUGCGCGAUGAAGGUCUUAGGAUCGUAAAGCACUUUCGCCAGGGAUGAUAAUGACAGUACCUGGUAAAGAAACCCCGGCUAACUCCGUG
Molecule: ribosomal RNA, 468 nt
Filed under: uncultured bacterium
Lineage: Bacteria
Description: bacterial SSU rRNA
Rfam family: Bacterial small subunit ribosomal RNA
Source: RNAcentral